Molecule: ribosomal RNA, 922 nt
Filed under: uncultured bacterium
Lineage: Bacteria
Description: bacterial SSU rRNA
Rfam family: Bacterial small subunit ribosomal RNA
Source: RNAcentral
AACCGAACCGCUGGCCGGCGUGCUUAACMACAUUGCAAGUCGAACCGCGAAAGUUUUCUUUAGGGAAGAUUGAGUAGAGUGGCGCACCGGGUGAGUAACGCGUAAAUAAUCUACCCCUGCAUCUGGGAUAACCCACCGAAAGGUUGGCUAAUACCGGAUACGUUCUUUUAACCGCGAGGUUUUAAGAAGAAAGGUGGCCUCUGAUAUAAGCUACUGUGCGGGGAGGAGUUUGCGUACCAUUAGCUAGUUGGUAGGGUAAUGGCCUACCAAGGCAACGAUGGUUAGCGGGUCUGAGAGGAUGAUCCGCCACACUGGAACUGGAACACGGACCAGACUCCUACGGGAGGCAGCAGUGAGGAAUAUUGCGCAAUGGGGGCAACCCUGACGCAGCGACGCCGCGUGGAUGAUGAAGGCCUUCGGGUCGUAAAAUCCUGUCAGAUGGAAAGAAAUGUUAUACGGAUAAUAGCUGUAUAGCUUGACGGUACCAUCAAAGGAAGCACCGGCUAACUCCGUGCCAGCAGUCGCGGUAAUACGGAGGGUGCAAGCGUUGUUCGGAAUUAUGGGCGUAAAGCGCGCGUAGGUGGUUUGUUAUGUCAGAUGUGAAAGUCCACGGCUCAACCGUGGAAGUGCAUUUGAAACUGGCAGACUUGAGUACUGGAGGGGGUAGUGGAAUUCCCGGUGUAGAGGUGAAAUUCGUAGAUAUCGGGAGGAAUACCGGUGGCGAAGGCGACUACUUGGCCAGAUACUGACACUGAGGUGCGAAAGCGUGGGGAGCAAACAGGAUUAGAUACCCUGGUAGUCCACGCCGUAAACGAUGUCAACUAGGUGUUGGGAUGGUUAAUCGUCUCAUUGCCGGAGCUAACGCAUUAAGUUGACCGCCUGGGGAGUACGGUCGCAAGAUUAAAACUCAAAGGAAUUGACG